RNAcentral lists this ribosomal RNA (497 nucleotides) under uncultured bacterium. RNAcentral describes it as "partial 16S ribosomal RNA". It matches the Rfam family "Bacterial small subunit ribosomal RNA", at positions 28 to 507 of the family's 1533-position model. The record is from RNAcentral.
GAUGAACGCUGGCGGCGUGCCUAAUACAUGCAAGUCGAGCGAACGGACGAGAAGCUUGCUUCUCUGAUGUUAGCGGCGGACGGGUGAGUAACACGUGGAGAACCUACCUAUAAGACUGGGAGAACUUCGGGAAACCGGAGCUAAUACCGGAUGAUAUUUUGAACCGCAUGGUGCAAAAGUGAAAGACGGUCUUGCUGUCACUUAUAGAGGGAUCCGCGCUGCAUUAGCUAGUUGGUAAGGUAACGGCUUACCAAGGCAACGAUGCAUAGCCGACCUGAGAGGGUGAUCGGCCACACUGGAACUGAGACACGGUCCAGACUCCUACGGGAGGCAGCAGUAGGGAAUCUUCCGCAAUGGGCGAAAGCCUGACGGAGCAACGCCGCGUGAGUGAUGAAGGUCUUCGGAUCGUAAAACUCUGUUAUUAGGGAAGAACAUAUGUGUAAGUAACUGUGCACACCUUGACGGUACCUAAUCAGAAAGCCACGGCUAACUACGUG